UUGGAAUCGUGAUGCUGAUACUCACAGGAAUAUUAUUGAUAGCUUUUCUGUGGUAUUGCUGUGCCUAUUACCAUUUCAUGCAUGAGUAUGUUUAUUUUAUCCUUGUAUUAUGUUGUUUUAGUAUUCUAAGAGUUUCUUAUAAGUAAGUCCUGGAACGAGGAUAUUAUUGAGUCCAAUAACACUAUUAUAAUAUAAUAGUUAUAAUGAAAUUAUAGCAUAACACUUUGGAAUACUAUCAGUGAAAAGAAUGCUAAGCUCAUUAUUAGGAAAUGUUUUAUGUUUUUAUGUCAUAAAAUAAUAUAUCCACACGGUAAGGAUAAGUUAAAAAGUACAGAAAUUAUAGCUUGAAAAGAAAAAAUAAUUAAUUUUCCUAUUUCCAACACCUUCUUGCCAGAUAUUAUCCUCUUAGUUACAAAUGUCACUCAUCAAAACAUCUUUAAAUCAUAUUUGUACUGUCAAACUUUUGAAAUGUUACAUAGAACGUACUUUGUACUUCUUUUGCUGGUUACUUCCUCUUAUUUGAAUUAGAUAGUUAUAUCUUCUUUUCAUGACUUCUUUUUUAAAAAAUAUUUUAUUUUUUUUAAAUAGUUGGACACAAUACCUUUUAUUUCAUUUAUUUAUUUUUAUGUGGUGCUGAGGAUAGAACCCAGGGCCUCAUAGGUGCUAGGCAGUGCUCUACCGCUGAAGCCACAACCCCAGCCCUUUUUUUUUUAGUACCAGGAAUUGAACCCAGGGGCACUCAACCACUGAACCAGAUCACCACCCUUUUUUAAAUUUCAUUUAGAGACAGGGUCUCACGAAGUUAGUCAGGGCUUGCUAAAUACCUGAGGAUGGCUUUGAACUCACGAUCCUCCUGCCUCAGCCUCCUGAGCUGCUGGUAUUACAGGUUUUUCCUGACUUACUGACUUUACAUGCUAUUCAUUGAUUCCCCGUCAUGAAAGUUGAAGAUUUUAUCUUUCACUAUCAAUGAAUUUUUUAUUAUUUUGUUGUUAGUAGAUAAUAUCAUCUUUUUAUUUGGGGAUUUAAAAUUAUUAUUUGUCAUUCUUUGUGCUUAUUAGACCUUAAGAUUACUAAUAUUUCUUCUGCUGGCUAUCUUGUGGACUUUGAAUAAUCCAUUUAACCUCUAUUUUUAUAUCUCAGUACUUCUCCCAUUAUUUUUAAAAUAAGACAAUUUGAUUCCCUGUAUUUUCUUACAUUCAUCCUUUCCUUCUAUCUCUUAAAUCCUGUAAAUUUUCUCAUUAAUUUAACCCUGCCAAAUGUGUAAUAUUUAUGUUGUGUCCUGGGAUAUAAUUAUCUUGAAGUGCUUACUCUAUGGUUUGAGCAUAAAUUUUUUAAACUACUUAAGAGACUAAAACAUAUUAUAAUGGUUUAAAUAUUGUUCACUAAGGAACCAAAGUGGAAGUAGGAAACACAAUGCUAUACUACUAGUUUGCAUUGUUUCAAGGUGUCAAGACCAAGUGGAUUCUCUUUUCUUAUUCUCCAUUUCUCAAGAUCAUGCUGCAUUUCAGCUUGCUUCAUGCGUAUACUGUGACUUUUCAAUACAAUUUCUGAAUUUUCUACAGUUUAUAACUAUUUUAAUUAUUUCUUGUUAAAAAUCCAUAUAUGUUUAUUCCUACCGCUUUGACCAUUUGUCUUAUACUUAAUAAAAUGUUUUCAUUUUCUUCCAAUGGACAUUCUUCUGAAAGUCCUCUGACAUCAGGUUCUAAUGUACAAAAAUUAGUAGAAUUCUCUUGAUUAUUCUACUGAAUUAGGAGAACUUUUAGGUUCUCUUAUCAUCCUCAUUUUAGUAUUUUUUUUCUUUUCCUAUGGUACCUUAUCAUGUGAUUUUGUUUCAAAGUGAGUUUGCCAAAGGUUUGGAGAAUAUUUCUGUAGUUCAUAUCUGCCUAUAAAUUUGGGUUUUUUUCCCUCCUAAUGCUCAAUAUGGUUUUAUUUUCUUUAUUCAGAUCAUAAAUCUUUUAUAAGAAGGACCCAUAGAUAAGAUAGAUAGAACCAAAGAUAAAAUAGGUGUCCACUAACAGGCUUAGGAAAAAAUAUAAGGACUGCCUAAAUAUUCUGCUUGUUUAAGACCUCCAUUUUUGUCUAUGAAUUUGUAUUUCUCUAGCUUCAAGAUUUUCUGUUCUUUCUUUGUGAACAUAUAAGGACAAGAUAGGAUAAGAUAGAAGAUAUUCCUUAUUCUACACCCCACCCCCGCCUCCUUAUUCUUUACCUCUAAAAAAAUAACAAAGAAAGGUAGGGAAAGAAAGAGCUCUUGAACACAUUACAUAUGUGGCAAGAGGCUGCUUUUUAUUUACUUUUAUUUUUUAUAUUUUCCUUCCAAGAUCCUGACUUCUUGUGUAAUCAUUUUCUUUGUAUUUAUGUAUAAAAUGGCAAAUUUUACCCCUAAGAGUAGGGUGUUGAGCAAAGAGCCAUCAGCAAAGCUUGGGGAGAGGUUGUUUGUUUUGUGGUACUAGGGAUUGAACCCAGGGGCGCUCUAGCACUGAGCUAUGUUCCCUGUCCUUUUGUUGUUAUAUAAAUUAGCCCAUUUAUUAUAGGCUAGGGAUGUCUCAAAUGGUAGAACUUCUACUGGUUUUUUUCAAUUCCUUCAGCCUUCUGAUUGCAGACUUGACUGUGAAAGUGGAAGUGGUGUUGUAGGUCCAGGCAUCACCAGCCACUGUUUUCAAUGCAGGAUCAGCACUGCCAGAUCCCCCCAGUUGGUCUCUUUCAUCUUGGUUUUGACACAGAAGGAGCAAGUGUACUUGGCAUGCUGGCUGAUUUCAAAUUUCUUAACCAUUUUCUGGAGGGAGGCACUGUAGAGGGUCCCAUAUUUACUAAUAAUUCCGACCUUCUUGGUGUGUUUAGCCUUGUCGCUGCAACUUAGGCUGGGAGAGCCCCAGUCCUUUUUAUUUUUUAUUUUGAGACGUAUUUUUCCUAAAUCGCAGACACUAGCCUUGAACUUGCGAUCCUCCCACCUCAGCGUCUGAGCAGCUAAAAUUACAGGGAAGAUUCUUUAAUCUACAAUUCAGAAGAAAAAACAUGAAUCCUGUCUGCAAAUACGGUUCAACAAUUGCACUUAGUUUUUGUUUAACUUAGUUAUUCUCAUACCAUCUCUUCUGUUUGAUUUUGUACUAUAGAUAUUCUAGGCCUUGUUAAUUAGGUGGAAACUGUAUUCUGCUAGAAGAAUUUAUACUAUUAAGGAUUUAUUGUACAACCAGAGAAGUGGAAAAUCAUGUUCCAUUUGUGUACUUUGAAUUGAAGUGCCUUCAGCUGUCAUUAUAACUAAUUAGAACAAAAAAAAAAUUUUUUAAAAGACUUAUUGUACUUUAAAAUCCAAUGAUCUUGGUUGGCUUCUGGAAGCAUCAGUCUGCUGGACAUGCAACUCAGUGGUAGAGUAUUGCCUACCACAUGCAAGGUGCUGAGGUCUAUCCUUAGCGGUGCCAAAAAAAAAAAAUUAAUUCCUUGUAGAAACAUCAGUCUUUCUUUUCAAUAAUACCCUUAAAUGACCAAUGAAGCAUCAAAAUAUUGAUUGCUGAUUUGAUAUAAUAUUCUUGUUUUCAGCCAUAUAAUUAUAAACACUAAAGCACUUUAAAAAGUUCUAAAUGUUAAGGGAAUAUAAAUAUUUGCCCACAUACUUGGUGCCUCCUUGAUUCUCAUCUAUUCCUUCUGAAAACCUUUGUUAAAUACUCAUUAUGCACUAGGUAGUAUCUUUGUCAUUAAGGAUGUAAUGAUGAAAAAGAAAGAUCAAGGUCUGGGGUUGUGGCUCAGAGGUAGAGCCCUCACCUACCAUGCGUGAGGCACUGGAUUCAAUCCUUAGCACCACAUAAAAAUAAAGAUUUUGUGUCCACCUAUAACUAAAAAGAUAAAUAUUUUUUUAAAAAAAGAUCAAACCCUUGCCUUCACAGAGUUUACACUCUAGUAAGGGGAUACAGAAAAUAAAAUAAGCAAUUGUUAAAUUUAUUACUAAUUAUUGAUAUUUUAAAUGACAUUCCAUUUAUUUUAAUUGAUUUUUUAUAAUCAAAUGCUUUAAUUCUUCUGUGGAUAGAUUAAAAAGAGAAUUCUAUAUAAUAAAGCAAGGAAAACAAAAUAUUAUAUAAAUGUGCUCUAUCUAAUAAAAUAAUUUUAACCCUAACUAUUCUGAAAAUAAGCCUAAUUCUACAUUCACCACUAUUUUGAACAGAUAUAGAACCAACAUUUAUUCAAGAGGAGUAACGGUUCCUGUAAACACCUGGAAUGUUGGUGGCAAGUACUUCCAUUUAUUUUAUGGGGUGUCCUGGGCCUUUCCAGUAACUGACAGUUGAAAAUCCCUUCCUUACUUAUUCCACCAUCAAAAUUAAAGUAUGAAUGGGAAACGUAACAGCAGAUUUCAUUGUUCUCCUUUCUGAGACAUACUCUUAUAACUUCAAUAGCUACACUAGAGUUGGUAAAAAAAAACCACAAUGUUGAUGGAGAAGUGUUAAAAUUUUUGGACUCAGUUGGGGAUGUAAUUGCUUCCUUUGUUCCUCAAUUCAUACUCAACCCAGAAAACUUAACAAAAACGAACUUUGCCUUAAGGAAUCUUUGCACACUUUCCCUAAAUUAAUUCACUUCAUCUUACCUAUUACCUUAGGUGACCCAGUGUCCUCUCUUCGACUCAAUUCUUUAAUCUUUCCCUUAGUUAUAAGGCUCUCCCUUACUCAGGACUCAACUCUUAGCUUCCUUUGGCUCAUCACCCAGUUCCUGGGCAGGCCUAUUGCCACUUUGCUGCUCAGGCUUAGAUCCCAGAGCCCCAAUUGGAGUCAGAACUGUGCCCCUACCCCACACCACCUGUUCACUUGAUUAAAUGGACCUCAAAAAUUUUUAGAUAAUAUGAUUGAGGAAAGGGUGCUAUAAGGUCCUUUAUAAUUACCACUAAAAAUAACUUUAGGGGGUUGGAGGUUACAUCUAGAUUAUUAUGGUGUUCUGGACCACAGAGGCAAAUGCUAAAAGCCUGGAACCACAUUUUAGGUUCCAAAAUUUGAGUGAAGAGCAGAGCUAACCUUAAAGGGCAAGGAUGAAAUAUUGAGCACAUACACACUCCAUUGCCAACUCCUAGAUCCUGUUAUGUAGAAAUUGUGUUGGUGAUAUUGGAAUGAGAUGUUUCAGAAAGCUAUUUCAGAAGAGGAGCUAAAGUGCAGGCAAUUGCUACUUUUUCCCAGAGUUGAAAUCAAACCAGAAGACUACAGAGAAUUUACUUUAUUUCAGGGUUUUUUCCCCUCCACUUUAAAUUCCACGAGAAUUUGUAGGAGAAAUGGUUGGAAAAGAGCACAGGGUUGUAUUCUUCUUUAUUUUAGGUAGAAACAGCUUACAGAUAGAGAACCAUUAGUUAUAUUAGAUCCAUUAUAAGGAAUAAAUGGUAAUCGAAUUCACAAGGCAAGAUUAUUUUCCAUGCUGCAUUAAAAGGUUAAUAAGGGAAAUAAAAAUCUUGCAAAAGGAAUUAGGAAAAAGAUAAAAAAGCAUGAGACAACAGUGUCAUAGAGAUCAAGAAAAGAUGGUCUGAAUGUGGAGGGAGACUCAGCAUCUUUUGGAGUUACAAAUUGGGAGCCUAUUUGCAUAUGAUAGUCUUAAAAGUGCAAGCCAGAACCAGGAGACUUCUGACUUGUGGAGAAGCAAAGUAUGGAACCUGUAAGAUGUUAUAUAGUGUGUGUGUUAUUAAUCUGUGAUGCUCCUCAUUUACAAAAUUUACAAAAGGAACAAUUUUCCAGGAGAGGUAGUAAUAGCAUUGCUCUUCAUCCUCAUUUCUUUCCUAGAAAAUAAAUUCAGAAGAUGAUUUGCUAAAAGUAGAGAUUCACUGAUUAUGCACAAAUUUUUUUCUCACUGGAGACAACAAGUUUUGGGUUUACUUCAAAUAUUUGACCUUUUUUUCUUUGUCAAAUUCACACCCAAGGUAAUACUUCCUUAAGGCAUUUGAUCCCUAAAUAUUAAAAUAACAAUAAAAUCUCAGAGUAGAAAAACUUUGAUUGUCUAUCAAUAUUUUGUGGUUAACAUUUUCAAAUUAGGUAAAUUUUUGUUGACUUUUGCUAGAAAGAAUUGGAAAAGGUAAACUUAUUUUCUCUUUUCAUAGGAUAUGAGGAAUAGAUAACAGAUCUUCCAGAGAAAGAAGUGUCUUCAAUGGUAAAGUUCCCAAAGAGGAUAUCACAUGAAUUUCCUACAUGUAAUCCGCCCCCCCCCCCAUCUAUUAAACAACUUUGCGGGAAUGGAAUUUGCAUUAUUAAGAAAGAAAAUGGGAAAUCAAAUCUGUAAAAUGUAGACAAAUUUUCAAUACCUGAACAUUUAAUAAAAGACGGCAGAAAAUGAAGAUACAAUAGUGCCUAAAUAAAGCUGUUUUAGAAAUCUGAGUGUGGUUAGUGUAGCUAAAUGUUGAUUUAGGUUGUCUUUCCAAAUACCAGCACUUCUUUUGAUUUUGCACUAGUUCAUUUGUUUCUACUGGAAUCUUUACUAUUUCUGUUUUCUACUAACUUUGCCCUUAAUUUGUUAU
Molecule: long non-coding RNA, 6469 nt
Filed under: Marmota monax (woodchuck)
Lineage: Eukaryota; Metazoa; Chordata; Mammalia; Rodentia; Sciuridae
Source: RNAcentral